CCUACGGGAGGCAGCAGUGAGGAAUAUUGGUCAAUGGGCGGAAGCCUGAACCAGCCAAGUAGCGUGCGGGAUGACUGCCCUACGGGUUGUAAACCGCUUUUGUACGGGGAUAACACCUUCCACUUGUGGCGGUCUGCAGGUACCGUGCGAAUAAGGGCCGGCUAACUCCGUGCCAGCAGCCGCGGUAAUACGGAGGAUCCGAGCGUUAUCCGGAUUUAUUGGGUUUAAAGGGUGCGUAGGCGGUCGUUUAAGUGAGCGGUAAAAUCGCGCGGCUCAACCUCGAGUCGCAAUUGAUACUGUAAGACUUGAGUUCAGAAGAGGCAGGCGGAAUACGUGAUGUAGCGGUGAAAUGCAUAGAUAUAACGUAGAACUCCGAUAGCGAAGGCAGCCUACCGGGGUGCGACUGACGCUGAAGCUCGAGGGUGUGGGUAUCGAACAGGAUUAGAUACCCGUGUAGUC
Molecule: ribosomal RNA, 459 nt
Filed under: uncultured bacterium
Lineage: Bacteria
Description: partial 16S ribosomal RNA
Rfam family: Bacterial small subunit ribosomal RNA
Source: RNAcentral